UGCAUCGUAGCUCAGUGGGUAGAGCACCGCGCUGUUAACGCGGAUGUCACAGGUUCGAGGCCUGUCGAUGCAGCCA
This 76-nucleotide transfer RNA is filed under the name Allobrachymonas sp. RNAcentral's name for it is "tRNA-Asn". It matches the Rfam family "tRNA". Rfam says of the family: Transfer RNA (tRNA) molecules are approximately 80 nucleotides in length. Their secondary structure includes four short double-helical elements and three loops (D, anti-codon, and T loops). Lineage: Bacteria; Pseudomonadati; Pseudomonadota; Betaproteobacteria; Burkholderiales; Comamonadaceae. The record is from RNAcentral.